Molecule: long non-coding RNA, 607 nt
Organism: Nannospalax galili (Upper Galilee mountains blind mole rat)
Lineage: Eukaryota; Metazoa; Chordata; Mammalia; Rodentia; Spalacidae
Exons: 2
Source: RefSeq, a predicted model, not a curated record
CCCGGAUUCCCUAUCAGCAAUUUGGGUAACCCCUUCAGAGGAUGGUGUGAUAAGAAUAGGAGAGUCCCAUGUAGCCUGGACCACCUCAGACUUGCUAUAUGGCUGAAGAUGACCUUGAGCGCCUGAUCCUGCUUCAGGAUUGUUGACAUUACAUGCACUACCACACCUGGUUUUAUGCAGCCAUGGGGAAUCAAACCCGAGACAUUCUGCAUGCUAGGCAAACACUCCACCAACUGGGAUACAUCCUCAACCUGAGACAGGAUCUGGUUAUGUUACAGGCUGACCUCAAACUCAAAUGCCUCUGUGAAGCAGCUGGGAUUGCCAGCAUGCUCUACCUCAUUAGCCUCUUUUUACUGCCCUUUUAAUUUCUUCCCUCCCAGCCACACCUCCUCACAGCGUCCAAUUCUCCUCUCCAACACUAGGCAAUGUUUUCCUGAACAGUAGAGGCUAUUUGGAUUGCUUUUUUUCAUUUUGAGCUAUUUUCCUUUCCAAAGUCAGUGGAUCAAUUUCUUUAUCUUCUUCCCUAAACUACCUACUGUUAAGAGUCCAGGUCUGCAGACAACCUUCUCCCAGAGUAAAAAAGCCUCACAACACAGGCCAUGGAGGG